AAUCCUCUAGUGGCUGUCUCAUUGACAGCCACUAGAGGCGCUUGCGUGCUUCUCACUGUGAAAAUCACAGUGAGAGCACGCCAGCGUCCAUAGGAAAGCAUUGUAAAUGCUUUCCUAUGAGACCGGCUGAAUGCGCGCGCAGCUCUUGCCGCGCGUGCGCAUUCAGCCGGCGGGGCGGGUCGGAGGAGGAUCGGAGGAGGAGAGCUCUCCGCCCAGCGCUGGAAAAAGGUAAAUUAUUACCCUUUCCCCCUUCCAGAGCCGGGCGGGAGGGGGACCCUGAGGGUGGGGGCACCCUCAGGGCACUAUAGUGGCAGGAAAACGAGUAUGUUUUCCUGGCACUAUAGUGGUCCUUUAAAAUUGAGCACUUAAAGUGAAUUGGAAAUUGUAUAAAAACAAAUAAGUGACCUUGAUUGGGUCAAAGCAGUCUUGCCCCUGCCUAAGUAAACUUGAAAAAUCCCCCCCUUCACCCCCCUCAAAAAAACAGGUGCUAAUAAUAUUUUUAUUAAUGCUCAUUUAUUUGCUAAAUGUCCUGCAAAUGCAGAGCAAUUGGUUAAGAGGGUGUACUGCUGACUUGACCCGGUUAGUCUUUGAAUCCUGCUUUUCUUCCUUCGUAACGGACAGUCAGUGAUACCUUUAUCAGAUAGUUCAAACAGGCAUCACUGCUGCAAGGUAGACUGGAAGAUGACAAUUCGGACUGGUGUGCGCUAAGUGUGAUGUCACAUUAUGUUUUGACCAUUUGACUCAUCUGGACAGCACAUCAUCUGUGUGCAUUUUGAUUCUUCUUCUGUGCCCAUUCUACUGAUUACAACACGUAUGCCUUCUUCAUUAUUAAAUAUUGUGCAUAUGUAUUAUAUCAUGAGGCAUAGACUGUUAUCAAAAUAAAAUUACAAAUGACUAUGUAUGACGUGUUUUCCCUUAUAAACAAAACAUGCUAAACAUGGGUAUAUGAAAACAAAAUCUGGGGGGACAGAUUUUAACUACAAAAAUCUUCCCCUCCACUUUGAAUCAAGAUUGCAUACAUCAAGCCACAUAUGUGAUACAAACAUUCACAUUACAGGAUACUAUACAUAAUCCAAAUUCACAAUGUGUCUUAUUCACUAAACAAAGAAUAGUGGUUAAUCGAAAAUGAAAUGUAAUAUUUAAAGUUAUAAAGUUGAGAUGACAAGGUUUCCAGUCUUUUUUUUUUAGCCUAGAUUUUGUAAUUCGGAAUGCAGUGAUGUAACUCUGUACAGUAUGUGACUGAGUAAAUAAGUAUGUGGUGUCAGUGUACAUUGUCAGUUAAGUGUAUAUUGUGUCAGUGUGAAUUCUUGUUUGAAUAUAUUGUGUAUAUUUGUGGUAACUGAAUUGCGUGUAAAUGUUGUGUGUGUG
This is a non-coding RNA of Pelobates cultripes (western spadefoot toad), 1368 nucleotides long. Lineage: Eukaryota; Metazoa; Chordata; Amphibia; Anura; Pelobatidae. The record is from the annotation of a GenBank genome assembly.